RNAcentral lists this small nuclear RNA (19 nucleotides) under Arabidopsis thaliana (thale cress). RNAcentral describes it as "snRNA_14288". Lineage: Eukaryota; Viridiplantae; Streptophyta; Magnoliopsida; Brassicales; Brassicaceae. The record is from RNAcentral.
GUGGCUCAGAAGUGCUUGA